AGGUAACCUACCCUCAGGACUGAGAUAACCCCGGGAAACUGGGGCUAAUAUUAGAUAGAUAAAAGAUACUGGAAUGUUCUUUUAUCCAAAGCUUUUGCGCCUGAGGAUGGGCCUGCGUCCGAUUAGGUCGUUGGUGGGGUAAUGGCCCACCAAGCCUGCGAUCGGUACGGGCAGUGGAAGCUGAAGCCCGGAGUUGGGGACUGAGACAAGGCCCCAGGCCCUACGGGGCGCAGCAGGCGCGAAACCUCUGCAAUGCGGGAAACCGUGACAGGGGGAUCCCAAGUGCUCAUGCAUUGCAUGGGCUGUUCUUUGGUCUAAGUAACCAGAGGAGUAAGGGCUGGGCAAGACCGGUGCCAGCCGCCGCGGUAAUACCGGCAGCUCAAGUGGUAGCCGCGAUUAUUGGGCCUAAAACGUUCGUAGCCGGAUAAGUAAGUCUUUGGUUAAAUCCUGCGACUCAACCGUGGGAAUUCUAGAGAUACUGCUCGUCUUGAGACCGGGAGAGGUUGGAGGUACUCCUAGGGUAGGGGUGAAAUCCUGUAAUCCUAGGGGGACCACCUGUGGCGAAGGCGUCCAACUGGAACGGGUCUGACGGUGAGGGACGAAACCUGGGGGAGCGAGCCGGAUUAGAUACCCGGGUAGUCCUAGGCGUAAAUGAUGCGAGUUAAGUGUGGGGGCAUCUACGAGAUGGCCCUGUGCUGUAGGGUAGCCGUUAAACUCGCUGCCUGGGGAGUACGGUCGCAAGGCUGAAACUUAAAGGAAUUUGGCGGGGGAGCACCACAAGAGGUGGAGGCUGCGGUUCAAUUGGACUCAACGCCGGAAAACUCAUCGGGAGCGACAGCAGUAUGAUUGCCAGGUUGAUGACCUUGCUUGACAAGCUGAGAGGUGGUUGCAUGGC
This 895-nucleotide ribosomal RNA is filed under the name uncultured archaeon. Its description in RNAcentral is "bacterial SSU rRNA". It matches the Rfam family "Archaeal small subunit ribosomal RNA", at positions 102 to 998 of the family's 1478-position model. The record is from RNAcentral.